Molecule: ribosomal RNA, 248 nt
Filed under: uncultured bacterium
Lineage: Bacteria
Description: partial 16S ribosomal RNA
Rfam family: Bacterial small subunit ribosomal RNA
Source: RNAcentral
UAGUCCACGCCGUAAACGAUGAGUGUUAGAUGUCCGAGGUAAACUUGGGUGUCUCAAGCUAACGCGAUAAACACUCCGCCUGGGGAGUACGUACGCAAGUAUGAAACUCAAAGGAAUUGACGGGGACCCGCACAAGCAGCGGAGCAUGUGGUUUAAUUCGACGCAACGCGAAGAACCUUACCAAGUCUUGACAUAACUUUGAAGCCAAUUAGAGAUAGUUGGUGAUUGACUUCGGUCAACAAAGCUAC